GGCUUCACCGCUCCGUUUAAAGGUCGCGUCGUCCGGGACGGAGUGUGGGAGAGGCAGACGCGCAGCGGGAGGGAGCAGAGCGAGGCUGUGCCGGGAGCCGAGCAGCCGUCUGCGGAGAAGCCCACAGGGGCGAGUUCUCCGCUCACGCUCACGGGCGGCCGUCGCCUCCCUCCCUCGGCUGCCGGGCCACGAGAGUUUCUCCUCCUCCUGCCCCGCCUCUCAGGGCCGCCGCAUCUGGGCUCUAGGACAGUCGGCGGGGAGCAGAUGGAAUUUACAUUUUGAUGAAGAAUCCUGCCACGUGUACAAGCUGUGCACCCUUGAGGAUGGAUUGCACAGUUCGUGUGGCCUGUGGCUCUUGCUCUCAUUUGUCUGCAUGGCAGAUCCUGCACGGGAAUGAGCCAGCUGAAGAUGUGGACCAGUCCUAG
This 425-nucleotide long non-coding RNA is filed under the name Heterocephalus glaber (naked mole-rat). RNAcentral describes it as "lncRNA (ENSHGLG00100049300.1)". Lineage: Eukaryota; Metazoa; Chordata; Mammalia; Rodentia; Bathyergidae. The record is from RNAcentral.